CUACGGGCGGCUCCAGUGGGGAAUAUUGCGCAAUGGGCGAAAGCCUGACGCAGCGACGCCGCGUGAGGGAUGAAGGUCUUCGGAUUGUAAACCUCUGUUAAGUGGGAAGAAAGACUCGCUCUUAAUAGGAGCGAAUGAUGACGGUACCAUUAGAGAAAGCACCGGCUAACUUCGUGCCAGCAGCCGCGGUAAUACGAGGGGUGCUAACGUUAUUCGGAAUUAUUGGGCGUAAAGGGUGUGCAGGCGGCGUGCUAAGUCAGCUGUUUAAUUCUCCGGCCUAACCAGAGGUCAGCGGUAGAUACUGGCAUGCUAGAGGGUGGAAGAGAGAAGUGGAAUUCUCGGAGUAGCGGUAAAAUGCGUAGAUCUCGAGAGGAACACCGAUGGCGAAGGCAGCUUCUUGGUCCAUACCUGACGCUCAUACACGAAAGCGUGGGGAGCAAACAGGAUUAGAUACCCUAGUAGUC
This 464-nucleotide ribosomal RNA is filed under the name uncultured bacterium. RNAcentral's name for it is "partial 16S ribosomal RNA". It matches the Rfam family "Bacterial small subunit ribosomal RNA", at positions 339 to 795 of the family's 1533-position model. The record is from RNAcentral.